UCCUGAUACUGGGUAUACACAUCAGCAGCAUGGUGAUGCUAACAUCUACGAUACGAUCAAUCCCUCAGACAACAAUGAUAAUGAUGCUGCUGGUGCUUCUGCUGCUGGACCACGUCAUGUGACUUACGUUCAGAUUCA
Molecule: long non-coding RNA, 138 nt
Organism: Coregonus clupeaformis (lake whitefish)
Lineage: Eukaryota; Metazoa; Chordata; Actinopteri; Salmoniformes; Salmonidae
Exons: 3
Source: RefSeq, a predicted model, not a curated record